GACGAAACGUGCGAACGUUAUUCGGAAUCACUGGGCUUAAAGGGCGCGUAGGCGGGCCAGCAAGUCAGGGGUGAAAGCCCACGGCUCAACCGUGGAAGUGCCUCUGAUACUGCGGGCCUCGAGGGAGGUAGGGGCGUGCGGAACUUCCGGUGGAGCGGUGAAAUGCGUAGAUAUCGGAAGGAACACCGGUGGCGAAAGCGGCGCGCUGGACCUCUUCUGACGCUGAGGCGCGAAAGCCAGGGGAGCAAACGGG
Molecule: ribosomal RNA, 253 nt
Filed under: uncultured bacterium
Lineage: Bacteria
Description: partial 16S ribosomal RNA
Rfam family: Bacterial small subunit ribosomal RNA
Source: RNAcentral